CUCACCUAUUUAUCUUACUUUUGUUAAUAUGACUGAGCCUGCAAUGCUAAAGGGAGGCAUCAGUGACGUUAUCUAACUUUAGAUGUUUAUUUGGAGUGUACAUUACACUCAUAGACUGUGACAAUACAUAGAUGCCUUUUCUUAGUGAUCCUCGUAUUAUUGUAACAUCGUUCAUAAUGAUAUCACAAUAAUCAUUCUUUAUUGAUAAUUAUAACCAUCUGUGGUCAAAAGAUCAAUAGAGAUUAUAUUCAUCAAGAAAGAUGGACAAUAGGGAUAAUCACUUAAAAUGAUACUAUUAGACUUGAAAACAAGCUCGACGACUCCUAAAGCCCGGAUUGAAAUAUGACUUCCAUCUCCCAUGUUUAGGAAUCUCUCGUUAUUCUUAAAUUUUCUACUAACUUGAAGUUCUUGAAAUGAAUUGCAUAUAUAAACUGGACAUUCGAUAUCUAAUACCC
This 455-nucleotide long non-coding RNA is filed under the name Elaeis guineensis (African oil palm). RNAcentral describes it as "long non-coding RNA (EGUI_LNC043692)". Lineage: Eukaryota; Viridiplantae; Streptophyta; Magnoliopsida; Arecales; Arecaceae. The record is from RNAcentral.